UCCCUAGUGGCUCAGAUGGUAAAGAAUCUGCCUGCAAUGCAGGAGACCUAGGUUCGAUCCCUGGGUCAGGAA
This 72-nucleotide transfer RNA is filed under the name Bos taurus (domestic cattle). It matches the Rfam family "tRNA". From Rfam's summary of the family: Transfer RNA (tRNA) molecules are approximately 80 nucleotides in length. RNAcentral also lists the same sequence under 3 other names. Lineage: Eukaryota; Metazoa; Chordata; Mammalia; Artiodactyla; Bovidae. The record is from Rfam by way of RNAcentral.